RNAcentral lists this ribosomal RNA (488 nucleotides) under uncultured Turicibacter sp. RNAcentral's name for it is "bacterial SSU rRNA". It matches the Rfam family "Bacterial small subunit ribosomal RNA", at positions 8 to 507 of the family's 1533-position model. Lineage: Bacteria; Bacillati; Bacillota; Erysipelotrichia; Erysipelotrichales; Turicibacteraceae. The record is from RNAcentral.
AGAGUUUGAGUCUGGCUCAGGAUGAACGCUGGCGGCGUGCCUAAUACAUGCAAGUCGAGCGAACGACUUCGGUGGGAAGCGGCGAACGGGUGAGUAACACGUAGGUGAUCUGCCCAUCAGACGGGGACAACGAUUGGAAACGAUCGCUAAUACCGGAUAGGACGAAAGUUUAAAGAUGCUCCCUGGCAUCACUGAUGGAUGAGCCUGCGGCGCAUUAGCUAGUUGGUGGGGUAAAGGCCUACCAAGGCGACGAUGCGUAGCCGACCUGAGAGGGUGAACGGCCACACUGGGACUGAGACACGGCCCAGACUCCUACGGGAGGCAGCAGUAGGGAAUCUUCGGCAAUGGGCGAAAGCCUGACCGAGCAACGCCGCGUGAAUGAAGAAGGCCUUCGGGUUGUAAAAUUCUGUUAUAAGGGAAGAAAGGUGAUAGGAGGAAAUGACUAUCAAUUGACGGUACCUUAUGAGAAAGCCACGGCUAACUACGCG